RNAcentral lists this transfer RNA (77 nucleotides) under Achromobacter sp. 2789STDY5608615. RNAcentral describes it as "tRNA-Leu(gag)". The record is from RNAcentral. Lineage: Bacteria; Pseudomonadati; Pseudomonadota; Betaproteobacteria; Burkholderiales; Alcaligenaceae. RNAcentral also lists the same sequence under 1 other name.
UCUGCGCGGCGGCCAGGAGCCGUCCGCGGCCUGAGGCGGCGCGACGGCCCGCCGCGGUUUCAGCCGCGGCGUGGCGC